GACGUUAGCAACAGAAGAAGCACCGGCUAACUCCGUGCCAGCAGCCGCGGUAAUACGGAGGGUGCGAGCGUUAAUCGGAAUUACUGGGCGUAAAGCGCAUGCAGGUGGUUCAUUAAGUCAGAUGUGAAAGCCCGGGGCUCAACCUCGGAACUGCAUUUGAAACUGGUGAACUAGAGUACUGUAGAGGGGGGUAGAAUUUCAGGUGUAGCGGUGAAAUGCGUAGAGAUCUGAAGGAAUACCAGUGGCGAAGGCGGCCCCCUGGACAGAUACUGACACUCAGAUGCGAAAGCGUGGGGAGCAAACAGGAUUAGAUACCCUGGUAGUCCACGCCGUAAACGAUGUCUACUUGGAGGUUGUGGCCUUGAGCCGUGGCUUUCGGAGCUAACGCGUUAAGUAGACCGCCUGGGGAGUACGGUCGCAAGAUUAAAACUCAAAUGAAUUGACGGGGGCCCGCACAAGCGGUGGAGCAUGUGGUUUAAUUCGAUGCAACGCGAAGAACCUUACCUACUCUUGACAUCCAGAGAAGCCAGCGGAGACGCAGGUGUGCCUUCGGGAGCUCUGAGACAGGUGCUGCAUGGCUGUCGUCAGCUCGUGUUGUGAAAUGUUGGGUUAAGUCCCGCAACGAGCGCAACCCUUAUCCUUGUUUGCCAGCGAGUAAUGUCGGGAACUCCAGGGAGACUGCCGGUGAUAAACCGGAGG
This 699-nucleotide ribosomal RNA is filed under the name Vibrio crassostreae. Its description in RNAcentral is "bacterial SSU rRNA". It matches the Rfam family "Bacterial small subunit ribosomal RNA", at positions 471 to 1169 of the family's 1533-position model. The record is from RNAcentral. Lineage: Bacteria; Pseudomonadati; Pseudomonadota; Gammaproteobacteria; Vibrionales; Vibrionaceae.